UGGAUCGAUGAUGACUACUGGUGGUGUAUGAGUUCAUAUAAGAUGAAUAUGUGUCUGGAACUCUAAGGUCCAA
This 73-nucleotide small nucleolar RNA is filed under the name Rhinolophus ferrumequinum (greater horseshoe bat). RNAcentral's name for it is "Small nucleolar RNA SNORD113/SNORD114 family (ENSRFEG00010005114.1)". It matches the Rfam family "Small nucleolar RNA SNORD113/SNORD114 family". From Rfam's summary of the family: The imprinted human domain at 14q32 contains two clusters of tandemly repeated small nucleolar RNAs named 14q(I) and 14q(II) snoRNAs. The record is from Rfam by way of RNAcentral. Lineage: Eukaryota; Metazoa; Chordata; Mammalia; Chiroptera; Rhinolophidae.